Molecule: ribosomal RNA, 729 nt
Filed under: uncultured bacterium
Lineage: Bacteria
Description: bacterial SSU rRNA
Rfam family: Bacterial small subunit ribosomal RNA
Source: RNAcentral
AACAGGAUUAGAUACCCUGGUAGUCCACGCCGUAAACGAUGAGUGCUAGGUGUUGGGGGGCUACGCCCCUCAGUGCCGAAGGUGACCCAUUAAGCACUCCGCCUGGGGAGUACGGCCGCAAGGCUGAAACUCAAAGGAAUUGACGGGGGCCCGCACAAGCGGUGGAGCAUGUGGUUUAAUUCGAAGCAACGCGAAGAACCUUACCAGGGCUUGACAUCCCGCUGACCCCUCCAGAGAUGGAGGUUUCCUUCGGGACAGCGGGACAGGUGGUGCAUGGUUGUCGUCAGCUCGUGUCGUGAGAUGUUGGGUUCAGUCCCGCAACGAGCGCAACCCUUGUCGUUAGUUGCCAGCAUUUCGGAUGGGCACUCUAACGAGACAGCCGGUGAAAGCCGGAGGAAGGUGGGGAUGACGUCAAAUCAUCAUGCCCCUUAUGUCCUGGGCUACACACGUGCUACAAUGGCUGGUACAAAGGGCAGCGAACCCGCGAGGGGGAGCCAAUCCCAAAAAGCCAGUCUCAGUUCGGAUCGCAGGCUGCAACUCGCCUGCGUGAAGCCGGAAUCGCUAGUAAUCGCGGAUCAGCAUGCCGCGGUGAAUAUGUUCCCGGGCCUUGUACACACCGCCCGUCACACCACGAGAGUUUGCAACACCCGAAGUCGGUGAGGCAACCUUUUAGGAGCCAGCCGCCGAAGGUGGGGCAGAUGAUUGGGGUGAAGUCGUAACAAGGUAACC